This 1585-nucleotide long non-coding RNA is filed under the name Triticum aestivum (bread wheat). Its description in RNAcentral is "long non-coding RNA (TAES_LNC014953)". The record is from RNAcentral. Lineage: Eukaryota; Viridiplantae; Streptophyta; Magnoliopsida; Poales; Poaceae.
CCGUGUCUCAUUGUUCUGCCUCCGAUUCUUGCCGGGCGCGUCGUCGAUGGCAGGGACGGGGGGCCAGCUCGCGGCCCUCGGAGCAGCGGCGGCCUGUGUGUCAUCGCUCUGCCACUGCCUCCGAGUCUCGCCGAGCGCGUCGACGACGGCAAGGACGGGGACAGCUCGCGGCCCUCGACAGGUGAGAGCGUUUAGGCGAAACGAGGCUUGAUUGGCCGCCGGAGAAAAUAGAUAGAACUGUAAAAUCCACCAUGCCCAAUGCUUCAGUGACCUUGGCCAUCUUCCAUGCUCACUCAUGUGUCGCACGCACCAGGGCAAUGUAGAAUUAGAUGCAUGUCUCGGCUCGCCAGUUGUCCCGUCCCGUCGUUAUCCUACAACAGCACCGCCAAGACGGCAUAUCCGGCUCCGUCGGCUGCGGCAGACUCAACGCCGUGGAGCGUGGCGAUGCCCAGCGUGACGACCCACAACGUGGAGGAUCGAGCAGUGCGAUUCACCUGUGUUGUGUGGCUAGGAUCUCGGCGAGGAGCAUGCGGAGGUGGUGGCAGAGGAGACAGGGGAGCAGAUCGAGGCGUGCGGUAGAAAUGCCUGCGUCUUCCUCAUGGUAAGAGGGUCGGUCAGAGAGCCUCCUCGGUUUUUCCCAUGACUGAGCUUAUUUUAUUUUGUCAGGUUCCGUCGAUGCUGCAUAGGUGCUAGACGUCUUGCCUGACAAGGAUAGUUAUCGUUGUUGCAAAAAUUGGUGAUUCUUUGUUGCUGUAUAGGCCUAUUGCUGUUCGCAGUCUACAUUGCUCUCAUAUCAUUUAGAGAGCAUAGGAUUCUGAUUAAUUCUAUUUGCUACAUCAGAAAACUCAACAUCGUAACUGUGCUGGAGCCUGGAUGACAUUGAGCAUGCAUAAUAAUGUGCAUUUACUGGGUUUCAUGACAUAUAUGUAUGAUUAUCUGAACAUUUCAAGUAGUAGUAUAACGUUAUCUCAUUUUGUUGAUAUUGUGGUUUCAACUAUCGGCGCACUAUUGCCGUUUUGCUGUGCUGCCGUUAUACAUUGGAGAUCUCUAUACAUUGUCCUUUGGUUUUGUCAAAAGUAAAGAAUGGUAAAAAGAAAAGUUACUUGCUAUGCUUUCCGUCUAUUUUCCCUUUGCACACUAGUAAGCAUGCACGUGCAACGCACGACUGAUUAGUAUGUUAUUUUAUAUCCUAAUUGAGCUUCUUGAUGCCAGCGUUUUUAAGCAUGGAGCGACAUUUAUUUUUCCUAGCUGCAUCUGAUACCAUGCAAGAUGGACACCACAAAAAUCAAACCAAGAAAAGCAAUAUAGAAAGAAGUCUUACAAGGAUACAAAUCCAUACUUCACAAGCUAGCCAAGGCAGACGGAGCCGAGGUGUAAGGUGGAUGUGCUUUUUCGGCCGCCUUCAAUAACCCAGUCGCACUCAUUUGCUAGAUAUGCUUAGCUACACUGGAUGAUACAAAUACAUGGACUAAAGGGGCUAGUCCAAUUAAUUAGUAGGGACAAACCCAAGCAGAUAUAGCCGAGCUAUCCAGACGCUGGGCAGUGAUGCUUAUUGUAGAUCUUUUAUAUGAUAAAAGCACAUGUU